RNAcentral lists this long non-coding RNA (402 nucleotides) under Cebus imitator (Panamanian white-faced capuchin). Its description in RNAcentral is "lncRNA (ENSCCAG00000038168.1)". The record is from RNAcentral. Lineage: Eukaryota; Metazoa; Chordata; Mammalia; Primates; Cebidae.
GCCGCCGAGGCCUCUGCUGCCCAGGUCGCCGUAUUCCCCGCGGGGGUCAGCCGGGCUGCCGCCUCAGGCCGCCCACCCCGCUCCGGCUGCCGCCGCCGCCUCCUCUCCCUUCCCGCGGCGGGAGGAGGCGAUGGAGCGACCUCCAGGCACCGGGCAGCUUCCCCGCCCCACCCCCAGCAGCCGGCGGGGCGGAGGAGAAAGACGCCAGGAAGCAGAACGUCCCCGCCCGCAGGAGGGUCGCUCCGGGGCUGCGCCCCCUGGUUCCUGCCCGCGAGCAGCUGCCGGGACCCUCCCUGCCGUGUUGCUGCCCGGAAAGCUCGAAGGCUCUCGGGCCUGCAGGGAGGGACACUUUCUUCCUCACUAAAAUGUGAGCCUCCAAAGCAAGAAACUUGAGGACAUGGG